This is a long non-coding RNA of Herpailurus yagouaroundi (jaguarundi), 447 nucleotides long. RefSeq lists it as uncharacterized. The transcript is spliced from 3 exons. NCBI's taxonomy places the organism in Eukaryota, Metazoa, Chordata, Mammalia, Carnivora, Felidae. The record is from RefSeq and is a predicted model, not a curated record.
UCAGCCUCCUGCAUUAUGGAUUUAAUAAGUUCUCUUGUCUCUCUACUCAGUUUUAUUACAUUCCCUUCCCACCAAAAUGUCUAUGGGAUGGGAUUGUGGGGACUCUCCCAUGUUAAAAUGACAUGUUAAUAUGACAUUGAAGGCUGCCAGUUAACCUGAGACAAGACUGUACAGUGAUAACUGAAGAGGGCAUAAAAAUGAGUCCUGACUCACUCCAACAUUAAAAUGUUGCACAGAACAGAAGCAGGAAAAUUUUGAAAUAGUGGCCAAUGAAGAAAAGAGAACAUCCAGGAGGAUUUAGUGUCACAGAAGCCAAGCUAGCUUCUUGGUCUGGCCCCUUGUGCACCAUGGACAAAAGAGAAAGGAUUUGUUUUUUCCUUCAGAAUCAGACAGAAGAAUGUACCAGGGACUGUAUUGAUGUUUGAAGUCUGGAAUUACAGGAUAAGG